GAUGAACCCUGGCGGCGUGCCUAAUACAUGCAAGUCGAGCGAACAGAUGAGGAGCUUGCUCCUCUGACGUUAGCGGCGGACGGGUGAGUAACACGUGGAUAAACUACCUAUAAGACUGGGAUAACUUCGGGAAACCGGAGCUAAUACCGGAUAAUAUAUUGAACCGCAUGGUUCAAUAGUUAAAGAAGGUUUUGCUGUCACCUAUAAAUUGAUCCGCGCCGCAUUAGCUAGUUGGUAAGGUAACGGCUUACCAAGGCAACGAUGCGUAGCCGACCUGAGAGGGUGAUCGGCCACACUGGAACUGAGACACGGUCCAGACUCCUACGGGAGGCAGCAGUAGGGAAUCUUCCGCAAUGGGCGAAAGCCUGACGGAGCAACGCCGCGUGAGUGAUGAAGGUCUUCGGAUCGUAAAACUCUGUUAUUAGGGAAGAACAAAUGUGUAAGUAACUAUGCACGUCUUGACGGUACCUAAUCAGAAAGCCACGGCUAACUACGUG
Molecule: ribosomal RNA, 497 nt
Filed under: uncultured bacterium
Lineage: Bacteria
Description: partial 16S ribosomal RNA
Rfam family: Bacterial small subunit ribosomal RNA
Source: RNAcentral